GGAGGAGCUUGCUCUUCCUGAUUAGUGGCGCACGGGUGAGUAAUGCAUAGAUAAUGUGCCCCUUAGUUCGGGAUAGCCACUGGAAACGGUGAUUAAUACCGGAUACUCCUUCUUGUCUCAAGGCAAGUCGGGAAAGUUUUUCGCUAAGGGAUCAGUCUAUGUUCCAUCAGGUAGUUGGUGAGGUAAUGGCUCACCAAGCCUAUGACGGAUAUCUGGUUUGAGAGGAUGAUCAGACACACUGGAACUGAGACACGGUCCAGACUCCUACGGGAGGCAGCAGUGAGGAAUAUUGCACAAUGGAGGAAACUCUGAUGCAGCAACGCCGCGUGGAGGAUGACGCAUUUCGGUGUGUAAACUCCUUUUAUUAGGGAAGAUAAUGACGGUACCUAAUGAAUAAGCACCGGCUAACUCCGUGCCAGCAGCCGCGGUAAUACGGAGGGUGCAAGCGUUACUCGGAAUCACUGGGCGUAAAGGGUGCGUAGGCUGGCUUCUAAGUCAGAUGUGAAAUCCAAUGGCUCAACCAUUGAACUGCAUUUGAAACUGGGAGCCUAGAGUUCAGAAGGGGCAGAUGGAAUUAGUGGUGUAGGGGUAAAAUCCGUAGAUAUCACUAGGAAUAUCAA
This 620-nucleotide ribosomal RNA is filed under the name uncultured Campylobacterota bacterium. RNAcentral describes it as "bacterial SSU rRNA". It matches the Rfam family "Bacterial small subunit ribosomal RNA", at positions 72 to 712 of the family's 1533-position model. Lineage: Bacteria; Pseudomonadati; Campylobacterota. The record is from RNAcentral.